This 397-nucleotide ribosomal RNA is filed under the name uncultured bacterium. Its description in RNAcentral is "bacterial SSU rRNA". It matches the Rfam family "Bacterial small subunit ribosomal RNA", at positions 358 to 772 of the family's 1533-position model. The record is from RNAcentral.
GGGAUAUUGCACAAUGGGGGAAACCCUGAUGCAGCGACGCCGCGCGAGUGAAGAAGUAAUUCGUUACGUAAAGCUCUAUCAGCAGGGAAGAAAAUGACGGUACCUGACUAAGAAGCCCCGGCUAACUACGUGCCAGCAGCUGCGGUAAUACGUAGGGGGCAAGCGUUAUCCGGAAUUACUGGGUGUAAAGGGAGCGCAGACGGCAGUGCAAGUCUGGAGUGAAAGCCCGUGGCUUAACUACGGGACUGCUCUGGAAACUGUGCAGCUAGAGUGCAGGAGAGGCAGGCGGAAUUCCUAGUGUAGCGGUGAAAUGCGUAGAUAUUAGGAGGAACACCGGUGGCGAAGGCGGCCUGCUGGACUGUAACUGACGUUGAGGCUCGAAAGCGUGGGGAGCAAA